RNAcentral lists this ribosomal RNA (465 nucleotides) under uncultured bacterium. RNAcentral describes it as "partial 16S ribosomal RNA". It matches the Rfam family "Bacterial small subunit ribosomal RNA", at positions 29 to 507 of the family's 1533-position model. The record is from RNAcentral.
ACGAACGCUGGCGGCGUGCUUAACACAUGCAAGUCGAACGGAAAGGCCCUGCUUGCAGGGUACUCGAGUGGCGAACGGGUGAGUAACACGUGGGUGAUCUGCCCUGCACUUCGGGAUAAGCCUGGGAAACUGGGUCUAAUACCGGAUAGGAGCCAUUUUUAGUGUGAUGGUUGGAAAGUUUUUUUCGGUGUAGGAUGAGCUCGCGGCCUAUCAGCUUGUUGGUGGGGUAAUGGCCUACCAAGGCGGCGACGGGUAGCCGGCCUGAGAGGGUGGACGGCCACAUUGGGACUGAGAUACGGCCCAGACUCCCACGGGAGGCAGCAGUGGGGAAUAUUGCACAAUGGGCGCAAGCCUGAUGCAGCGACGCCGCGUGGGGGAUGACGGCCUUCGGGUUGUAAACUCCUUUCGCUAGGGACGAAGCUUUUUGUGACGGUACCUAGAUAAGAAGCACCGGCUAACUACGUG